AAUCAACGCUGGCGGCGUGCCUCAGACAUGCAAGUCGAACGAUUAAAGCUCUCUUCGGAGAGUGUAUAGAGUGGCGCACGGGUGAGUAACACGUAAGUAAUCUACCUUUGAGUGGGGAAUAACAGUCGGAAACGGCUGCUAAUACCGCAUAACGCAGCGGCACCGCAAGGUGACAGCUGUUAAAGGAGCAAUCCGCUUAAAAGAGGAGCUUGCGGCAGAUUAGCUU
This 226-nucleotide ribosomal RNA is filed under the name uncultured bacterium. RNAcentral's name for it is "partial 16S ribosomal RNA". It matches the Rfam family "Bacterial small subunit ribosomal RNA", at positions 32 to 247 of the family's 1533-position model. The record is from RNAcentral.